GGGGAGGGGGUGGUGGUCCGUUAGUGGCGUUGGGCUCCGGCCGCCGCCGUGGCAGCGCUUUCUCCUCCGCUCACGGAGAGCUGCUCAGGUUGCAGGCCAACCAGCUCUUGCCGCCGCCUCGGUCGCGAUGGGGGCGCAGGACCGGCCGCAGUGCCACUUCGACAUCGAGAUCAACCGGGAGCCGGUUGGUCGCAUUAUGUUUCAGCUCUUCUCAGACAUAUGUCCAAAAACAUGCAAAAACUUCCUUUGCCUAUGCUCAGGAGAGAAAGGCCUUGGGAAAACAACUGGGAAGAAGUUAUGUUACAAAGGUUCUACAUUCCAUCGUGUGGUUAAAAACUUUAUGAUUCAGGGUGGGGACUUCAGCGAAGGUAAUGGAAAAGGCGGAGAAUCAAUUUAUGGUGGAUAUUUUAAAGAUGAAAACUUUAUUCUCAAACAUGACAGAGCGUUCCUUUUGUCAAUGGCAAAUCGAGGGAAACAUACCAAUGGUUCCCAGUUUUUCAUUACCACAAAACCUGCUCCACACCUGGAUGGGGUUCAUGUCGUCUUUGGAUUAGUUAUUUCUGGUUUUGAAGUAAUCGAACAGAUUGAAAAUCUGAAAACGGAUGCUGCAAGUAGACCUUAUGCAGAUGUGCGAGUUAUUGAUUGUGGGGUGCUUGCCACAAAAUCAACAAAAGAUGUUUUUGAGAAAAAAAGGAAGAAACCAACUCAUUCAGAAGACUCGGAUUCCUCUUCCAAUUCCUCUUCCUCUUCAGAAUCUUCUUCAGAAAGUGAAAUUGAACAUGAGAGAAGCAGAAGAAGGAAACGUAAGAGGCGGCCAAAAGUUAAACAUUCUAAAAAGAGACGAAAGGAAGCAAGCAGUUCAGAAGAGCCAAGGAAUAAACAUAUAAUGAGCCCAAAAGGUCACUCAGAGAGGAGUGAUACCAAUGAAAAAAGGUCAGUUGAUUCAAAUGCUAAAAGAGAAAAGCCUGUGGUCCGCCCAGAGGAGAUUCCUCCAGUUCCUGAGAACCGAUUUUUACUGAGAAGAGAUAUGCCUCUUGUCACCGUGGAACCUGAACCGAAGAUUCCUGAUGUUACACCUGUUGUAAGUGAUCAAAAACCAUCUGUAUCAAAAUCUGGACGGAAGAUUAAAGGAAGGGGCACAAUUCGCUAUCACACUCCUCCAAGAUCAAGAUCAUGUUCUGAAUCAGACGAUGAUGAUAGCAGUGAAACUCCUCCUCACUGGAAAGAAGAAAUGCAGAGAUUAAGAGCAUACAGACCACCUAGUGGAGAAAAAUGGAGUAAAGGAGAUAAAUUAAGUGACCCCUGUUCAAGCCGAUGGGAUGAGAGAAGCUUGUCCCAGAGAUCCAGAUCGUGGUCCUAUAAUGGAUAUUAUUCAGACCUUAGUACAGCAAGACACUCCGACGGUCACCAUAAAAAACGCAGGAAAGAGAAAAAGGUUAAACAUAAAAAGAAAGCUAAAAAGCAGAAACGUUGCAGAAGACACAAGCAGACCAAGAAGAGAAGGAUUAUUGUACCAUCAGACAUAGAAUCCUCAAAAUCUUCCACCCGAAGAAUGAAAUCCUCUUGUGACAGAGAAAGGAGAUCUCGUUCUUCCUCGUUAUCAUCUCAUCACUCAUCAAAGAGGGACUGGUCUAAAUCUGAUAAGGGUGACCAGAGCUCUUCAACCCAUUCCAGCAGAGACUCCUACAGAUCUAAAUCUCACUCGCAGUCUUAUUCCAGAGGAAGCUCAAGAUCAAGGACUCCAUCAAAAUCCUCAUCACAUUCUCGAAGUAGAUCAAAGUCCCGAUCUACUUCCAAGUCAGGGCACCAAAGGACAGCAUCAAAAUCACCAAGACGAACAACCUCUCAGUUAAGUGAAAAUAAACCAGUUAAAACGGAACCUUUAAGAGCAACAGUGCCACAAAAUGAAAACGUCGUAGUACAACCAGUGGUAGCGGAAAAUAUUCCUGUAAUACCACUGAGUGACAGUCCCCCUCCUUCAAGGUGGAAGCCGGGACAGAAGCCCUGGAAGCCCUCUUAUGAGCGAAUUCAGGAAAUGAAAGCUAAAACAACCCAUUUGCUGCCCCUCCAAAGCACUUACAGUUUAGCAAAUAUCAAAGACACUGGAAGUUCAUCAUCCUACCAUAAAAGAGAAAAAAAUUCAGAAAGUGAUCGGAGUGCUUAUUCAAAAUACAGUGAUAGAAGUUCGGAAAGUUCACCAAGGUCAAGGAGCAGAUCUUCUAGGAGUAGAUCUUAUUCCAGAUCAUACACAAGGUCACGAAGUCUAGCUAGUUCACAUUCAAGAUCUAGGUCUGCCUCAUCUAGAUCUCAUUCACGAAAUAAAUACAGUGAUCGUUCACAGUGUAGUAGAUCAUCGUCAUACUCCUCCGUUAGCAGUGAUGAUGGAAGACGAGCCAAGAGAAAAUUUAGAUCCAAUGGGAAAAAAAGUAACACUUCAAAUAAGAGGCACAGCAGCAGCUCUGAGAAGAGACUUCGCAAUAAAUAUGUGAAAAGCAGAGACAAGUCUUCGAGUCAGAGGAAGUAUAGCGAAAGCAGGUCAUCUUUAGAUUAUUCUUCGGACAGUGAACAGUCAAGUGUUCAGGUUACACAGUCAGUCCAGGAAAAAGAGAGGCAAGUCCAGAUGGAAAUGAACAAUAAGCAAGAGAAAAACAGAGAUGAAGAGAAAUCCAAGCCUGAACAGGAAUGCCCUCGUUCAAAGAAAAGGGCCUUGAAAGAGAAUCUUUUUGAUCACCUUAGAAAUGGCAAUAAGCCCAAAAGGAAGAAUUAUGCUGGGAGUAAAUGGGACUCUGAGUCAAACUCUGAACGAGAUGUAACUAAAAACAGUAAAAAUAUUUCCCGGCCAUCUUCUGAUAAGGAGGAAGGUGAAGCUACGUCAGAUUCUGAGUCAGAGUUUGGUGAAAUUCACAGCAAAGCCAAACCCCCAACAAAGUCUUCAGCAAGUACUUCGUUGCCCGAUGGUAAUGGUGCUUGGAAAUCAAGUAAGCAGCAGUCUUCAACCUCUGAUUCCGAGGGGUCCUAUUCCAAUUCAGAAAACACUAGAAGAAAGGCACGGAAGCACAAAUACGGGUCAAAGGAAAAUCUUAGACGGGAACAGACCAAAAAAGCAAAGGAGAAACUGAAAGGGAAAAAAGACAAAAAGCACAAGGCUCCAAAACGAAAACAGGCAUUUCACUGGCAGCCUCCACUAGAAUUUGGUGAGGAGGAGGAGGAGGAGACUAGUGAGAAACAAGUUACUCAAGAGGCAAAAGAGAAAAAACAAGUUUCUGAAAAUAGUGAGACCAUGAAAGAAAACAUUUCGCACACCGAGAGGUCUUGCGAAGAGGGCCGCCUUUCAGGUAAAUGUAAUCUCAUCAUGACUUCAUCAGAUACUGGGCAGCCUCCUAAAGAGGAUAGUAAACUGGGCGCUUCUCCCACAGCUUUCAGUUCUGACGAACAGGGAGCCGCUUCUCCCUCCAGCAUUCAGCAUAUUGCAGAAAGGGCCCCAAGCGGAGUGGAGGAUGUGCUGCAGACAGAUGACAACAUGGAGAUUUGCACUCCUGAUAGGAGUUCCCCAGCCAAGGAGGCAUCCCCUCUAGGAAAUUCAAGGCUUGCCACCCCAGACGUAAACGUUGUUCUACAACAGGAUAUGCACGCAGAGCAUCCUGAGACAGAGGAGGGAAAACAGGAAAGCAAAACGAUGGGGGACGUGGGGAAGCGGGACAGCAGCCCUGCUAGCCUGGCCAGCGCCACAGAAAGCGCCGUGAAGAGAGAGGCGGCUGAGAAGAGCCAGAUGGGCCUCCUGGAUAACAAAUGGAAGCCCCUGCAAGGGGUGGGGAACCUGGCGGCCCCGACGGCCCCCACGGCCAGCGCCACGGAGGUGAAGGCACUGACUGCUGCUCCUGAGAUGAAGCCACAAGGCUUGAGGAUAGAAAUUAAAAGCAAAAAUAAAGUUCGGCCUGGGUCUCUCUUUGAUGAAGUAAGAAAGACGGCACGCUUAAACCGGAGGCCAAGGAAUCAGGAGAGUUCAAGUGAUGAGCAGACCCCUAGUCGGGAUGGGGAUAGCCAGUCCCGGAGUCCAAGCAGAUCUCGUAGUAAAUCUGAAACCAAAUCAAGACACAGAACACGGUCUGUCUCCUACAGUCACUCAAGAAGUCGAUCGCGAAGUUCCACAUCAUCUUAUCGAUCAAGAAGCUAUUCUAGAAGUCGGAGCAGAGGAUGGUACAGCAGAGGCCGCACAAGAAGCCGGAGCAGUUCCUACCGCAGUUACAAAAGUCAUAGGACAUCCAGCAGGAGCAGAUCCAGGAGCAGCUCGUACGACCCCCAUAGUCGGUCCAGAAAAGAAAUGAACAUUUUUCUGUUUCAUGCGGUAAGUCUCACUGGGGCACUUGUUAAACGUCUCCAGUAGUUGCUGUGCACAUGUGUCCUCACACAGUCAUAGAGUGCCCAUGUCCUCAGAGAACACUGAAGAGACCGUAAGAAGAAACGGAAGCCUGUGAGUGUUGGAGUGGGGAUUAAGUGUGUGUGGUUGCCGUUGGAGCAGGUCCUGCACUUACGAUAGCUACUACAGCACGAGUCGGAGUCGCAGCAGAAGCCAGAGGAGUGACAGUUACCGCCGAGGCAGAAGGUACAGCAGGCGAUCCAGGAGUUGUAGAUCUUACGGCUCUGACAGUGAAAGUGACCGAAGUUACUCUCAUCACCGGAGCCCCAGUGAAAGCAGCACAUAUAGUUGAAAAUGUCUCCUUUUUUGAUACAAAUUAUAUCUUAUUUGUAAAUAUCUGGUAACUUAAAAAUGUAAGAAACUUAAUGGCAGUCUGUUGUUCUAUUUCAACAUUAGAAAUAAGUUUCGAAAAUAGGCACUUCUUAAUUGUUAUUGUCCAUUUACAUGUGCACAGAAUUUAAAAUACAGAUAUGUCUCCUAAAAAUAUUUUUAUGCCACAUUUUACAGUAGCCAACUUUGGGAAUGAAUUUCAUUUUCUUGAAUCAAGAAAUCAUGAAAUUUAAGUAUAAUUUGCAGUAUUAUUUUAGACAGAUUACUUCUUUCCAUCUCAUGUAUUCCUUAGAAUACAGAUUCUUUUUGCCCGUUUUUCAGGUUUUAGCGUAUAUGCUGCCAAGCCCAGAACUGUGAAGAACUGCUAAAGGUGGCCAAAUAUUUAUAUACCAGUUACACCGUCUUAUGCAUAUGUGCUCUUAGAAACAAACCACCCAGAAUCGAUACUGAUGGUAGCCAGGAGUCUUAAGGCAGUGGCUCUGGAGUUCUUAACUCAUUCCUUCCUUCUUGGUGGUCUCAGAGGGUCAGGAAAGUGGUCAUCAUACAGCCCACCGUCUGUAUUACUCCAGGCUGGCGGGUGAGGUUGGGAAGAAUAAAUCAGCCUUAACUAUAAAUACCUGCACUGUCUCCAAGGCCCUAAUGUUUUAUGUGCUUUUUAAUAAAUACUAUCAGAAGUUUAGAUUGUAAAAAACAAUUCUGUUCCGGUUCAUCUUUGGGUGCUCGGUACCUUUUGGUGCCUCUUCAAGUAUACUUUACAUUAGAAUCUCACAGGAGAGAGAGAAGUGUUUUUUUUGUUUUGUUUUUUUUUUUAAUUCGCUGGCACCAGGCAUGGUUCCUUCUGGGCUACAUUCACUUUAAGUAUCUGGAGGGUUUCUCUCAAGCUCAGGUGUGGCUUGGGGCCCCCUGGAGCAGGCAGGAUUGGCACAGAGGGUCGCGUGGCCCCUCGGGCUUGCUGCACAGAACUGGCACGCGUGCCUCCGGGAGAGCGGAUUGAAGAGUAGAAUCCAGGGUACCGCCAGACCUCACUGUCACAUCCCGGGGACAUUUUGGAGGGCUUUCCAGUCUUUCAGGUUAAGGGAGCUCUACCACAACAGCGGCUGAGCUGUUCUAAGCACCAGCACGUUUGUCUUCUUUCCGCUGUGACUCACUCUGACUCCGUGAAGCUCACACGACAUGAUAAGUCCAGGGGAAGAGGGGUGUACAGGACUGCACAAAUCACACUUUUUCAGUUUCAGGUGGUUCCUCCAAAAAUGGUUUGACCUGUAAAAACUGGUGUUUUUUGGUUUUGGGGUUUUUUUAAUCUUUGAGUUUUUUCCCCCAAGUGUACUUAAUCACCUUAGUGCCAGUUUAAGCCAGUUGUACAGAAGAAAUUCAUAUUGGAUGUUUGAUGUGGGACUCUGCUCCACCCUCCCCAGGCCUUGCUUGGGGUACUUGGGAAGUGGGAAAGAGCCCUCAGUUGGAGGGAUCUGACAACCUUGAUGGGUGGAGGGGUGACCUUGGAUAUAUUAAAACCAUCACCCAUAAAAGGUUCAUAAACAGGGUUAAAUGGUCAGCUGUUUGCCAGGUUGAUAGACGAGAGUGCAUUAGGAAAACAGGACCCAAGUCAAACAGACGUACUUCCUAGUGAGUACAGAACAAUGCAUGAUUCAUGUGAAGGGUUUUCAAGUUGCCUGUAACACUCGGUGAAAAAAACCCUACAUUCAGAACUCAGACAGAAACUGCCAAAUCUAAUUAGGUUAAGAAAAGUUACCCUUGGACAAUGUAUUCGUUUUCUACUGCUAUGUAACAAACUACCCCACACUUAGCAGCUUAAAACAACACCCAUUUCUUAGCUCACAGUUCUGUAGCUUGUGAGUCUGGCACAGUAUGGCUGGAUUCUCUGCUCAGGGUCUCAACAAGGCUGAAAUCAAGGGUCAGCAGGGCAGCAUCCUUUUAUGGAGGCUCUAGGGAAGCAUCUACUUCCAAGUUCAUUUGGUUCCUUGCUGGUUGUCAGCCGGAGGCUUCUCCCUCAGCUCCUGAAGGCUGCUCGCAUUCCUUCUUGCGCGUUCCCCUCCAUCUUCAAACCCUCAGUGGCCUUCCCAUCCCUCUGCCUUCCUCCUUCAUUUUUGAGGUUCGUGUGAUUAGAUCAAGCCAACUGAUCAAGUCUCCCUAUUUUUAGGUCGGCUCUGCCGUAGAACAUAGCAUAAUCACAGGAGUGACUGCACAGGCGCAGGCUCGGAUCGGGGCACAAAGCGAGGGGUGCGGGUGGGGCGGGCCGUCCUAGAACCCUGCCUACCCCAGACAAUAACUGCCCACUGCUGGCGCGGGGUGGGGGGGGACUGUCAUCCAAAAAAAGGUGGGCCCUGGAAGCCUCGAUUGUUUCCUCCAUGGAAAAGAACAGCCCUCAGCCGCAGCAUUCAAUUGUGUUUACUGAAUGAACUACAGAAAUAGCUUUUCUGCCUAGAGGGGAUUGUUCUGUAUUUUAAGUUAUUUUUUAAUAAAAUUUAAUUAUGUUGUGUAUUGUGCUUCUUAAUAGAAAAUGUAUUGGACUGUUUUUGUAACGUCUUGUUUACUGCAAAUGAAACAUGAUAUAGCUGGUAUUGUUCAAACCUGUAGAAAAUACUUUUGUACAUAUUGGCAAUGUCUAAUUUGUAUACACUUCAUUUAAAUGUUCCUAAAACUUGAAAGGGGGACCUUGUAGAAAUUAAAAUAUAUACUUAGUCUAAA
Molecule: non-coding RNA, 7453 nt
Organism: Leptonychotes weddellii (Weddell seal)
Lineage: Eukaryota; Metazoa; Chordata; Mammalia; Carnivora; Phocidae
Source: RefSeq, a predicted model, not a curated record